CUAUGUUAAAUUGGGGUGUUAGCGGUACCUUGUAACCCACAAUCCGCUAUAGUGGGGAUGAAAACUUGAGCUGAGGGACAAAUUCGUCUUGUUUGCCUUGAUUUUGGCGGGUGUUGACGAUUACGGUCCUGCGCAAUUGAAACCUGUGAACCACGUCAGGGCAGGAAUGCAGCAGCGUUAAGCAGUUCUUUUUGAUGUGCCGCAGGGGUGCCGGGUCUGAGCCUGUCGGUUGAGUAACGGAGGUGUUUUUGUUUCAAACUCAAGCACAUAG
This 271-nucleotide signal recognition particle RNA is filed under the name Oscillospiraceae bacterium. RNAcentral describes it as "signal recognition particle sRNA large type". It matches the Rfam family "Bacterial large signal recognition particle RNA". Rfam says of the family: The signal recognition particle (SRP) is a universally conserved ribonucleoprotein involved in the co-translational targeting of proteins to membranes. Archaeal SRP consists of a 7S RNA and homologues of the eukaryotic SRP19 and SRP54 proteins. The record is from RNAcentral. Lineage: Bacteria; Bacillati; Bacillota; Clostridia; Eubacteriales; Oscillospiraceae.